UUAAAUUGAAGAGUUUGAUCAUGGCUCAGAUUGAACGCUGGCGGCAGGCCUAACACAUGCAAGUCGAACGGUAACAGGAAACAGCUUGCUGAUU
This 94-nucleotide ribosomal RNA is filed under the name Escherichia coli. Its description in RNAcentral is "partial 16S ribosomal RNA". It matches the Rfam family "Bacterial small subunit ribosomal RNA", at positions 1 to 93 of the family's 1533-position model. The record is from RNAcentral. Lineage: Bacteria; Pseudomonadati; Pseudomonadota; Gammaproteobacteria; Enterobacterales; Enterobacteriaceae.